Molecule: long non-coding RNA, 785 nt
Organism: Physella acuta
Lineage: Eukaryota; Metazoa; Mollusca; Gastropoda; Physidae
Source: RefSeq, a predicted model, not a curated record
GUGCCAAUACCACCAACCCUGUUUGUGAACAACGCUGUAGAAAUACACCUGGAAGUUUUAUUUGCUCUUGUGAUGAUGGCUACCUAAUCAACACAACAGACCACAGCAAAUGUGAUGACAUUGAUGAAUGCAAAGAUGAAUCCCCAUGCCAGCAGAUUUGUACCAACACAGUAGGAAGCUUCUCGUGUUCUUGUAAGGCUGGAUACACUAUCAGUAGCACGGACGCCACAACAUGUGAAGUACCAUGUGAUGCUUACAAGAAACAAACACCAGUAGAUUAUACGACAUCAGAUCACAAGGCUUGCUUUAAUAUUUGUAAAGAAAAUUUAUUAUGUAAUGGUUACACCUAUGAGGUUGGUGUUCCAAAAAAUUGUAGUGUUUGUACUGUCUGGAAACGUAACUAACACUAACAUAGAAUUAAGUGGAGCUGGCUUUGUGACUUGUCGAAACGAAACAGCGCCAUGUUCUGCUUAUGAUGAUUAUACCAGCAUAUCAACAGCUGACCAAACACACAAGGCUUGUUUUAUGUCUUGCGCUGCGUAUCAUACAUGCUUGAGAUACACUUAUGUCAGCCAAACAUACUGUAACCACCUUGUCGCAGCUGGGAACAAGUAUGACAUAAACACGAAUAUAUGGGCUAACGCAUACAUGGUUUGCUGAUUGGUAUAGGCCCCUAUGUCCAGAGUUUCAAAAGAUUUUGGAUCCAAAAAGUUAUUCAAGUUUUAAAGUUCCUAAACAUGUAUUGAUCAACAGCGUUUGCCAAAUGUAAACUGUUGGUUUUGUAU